RNAcentral lists this ribosomal RNA (1333 nucleotides) under metagenome. Its description in RNAcentral is "bacterial SSU rRNA". It matches the Rfam family "Archaeal small subunit ribosomal RNA". The record is from RNAcentral.
CACGUUGAUAAUCUAACCUAUGACCUGGAAAAGCCUCGGGAAACUGAGGGUUAUGCCGGAUAGGAAAUUGAGGCUGGAAUGCGCUUUUUCUGAACAUAGGAUGAGUCAGCGGCCGAUUAGCUUGUUGGUGAGGUAAUGGCUCACCAAGGCGACGAUCGGUAGGAGCCUUGAGAGAGGUAGCUCCGAGAAGGGCACUGAGAAAAGGGCCCUAGCCCUACGGGGUGCAGCAGCCAGGAAACCUUUACAAUGCGCGCAAGCGCGAUAAGGGGAUUCGAAGUGCUUACGUUUUACGUAGGCUUUUGCCAAGAGUAAAAACCUUGGCGAAUAAGUGGUGGGAAGGACUGGUGCCAGCCGCCGCGGUAAUACCAGCGCCACGAGUGGCAAUCGUGUUUAUUGGGCCUAAAGCGUUCGUAGCAGGUUCGAGUAGUUCUUUGUGAAAUCGUGCAACUCAAUUGUACGGCGUGCAAAGAAUACUACCGAACUAGAGACUGGGAGGCGUAUGGAGUAUUUCAGGGCCAGCGGUAAAAUGUGUUGAUCCCUGAAGGACUGCCAAUGGCGAAGGCACCAUACGAGAACAGGUCUGACUGUGAGGGACGAAAGCUGGGGGAGCAAAACGGAUUAGAUACCCGAGUAGUCCCAGCUGUAAACUCUGUGCGUUAGGCGUUGGAGAAACUACAUGUUUUUCCAGUGUCGUAGAGAAGUCGUUAAACGCACCGCCUGGGAAGUACGGUCGCAAGGCUGAAACUUAAAGGAAUUGGCGGGGGAGCACUACAAGAGGUGCUUCGUUCGGUUUAAUUAUAUUUUACACUGAGAAUCUCACUAGAACCAACGGCAGAAUGAAGAUCGGGCUGAAGACUUUAUCUGACGAGCCGAGUGGUGUUGCAUGGCCGCCGUCAGCUCGUGCCGCAAGGUGUCCUCUUAAGUGAGGUAACGAGCGAGACCUGCGUCCACAAUUGCUAACGACAUCCCCGGAUGGAUCGAGCACUUUGUGGGGACUGCCUUAGAAAUAAGGAGGAAGGUGCAGGCAACGGUAGGUCUGUAUGGCCCUAAUGUUCUAGGCUACACGCGCGAUGCAAUGAUAAGGACAAUGGGAUACAACUCCGAAAGGAGAAGUUAAACCUCGAAACUUUAUCUUAAUUUAGAUUGGGGCUUGUAACUCAGCCCCAUGACACCGGAAUCUCUAGUAAUCGGGUGUUAACAGCGCCCGGUGAAUAAGUCCCUGCUUCUUGCACACACCGCCCAUCAAACCAGCCGAGCAGUUCUUGGAUGAGGAUGAUUUUUUUGAGUUGUUCGAAUCUGAGGACAGUGAGGUGGGUUAAGUUGUCACAAGGAA